GAUGAAGAACGUAGCGAAAUGGGAUAAGUAAUGUGAAUUGCAGAAUUCAGUGAAUCAUCGAAUCUUUGAACGCACAUUGCGCCCGCCAGUAUUCUGGCGGGCAUGCCUGUCCGAGCGUCAUUUCAACCAUCAAGCCCCGGGCUUGUGUUGGGGACCUGCGUCCGACGCAGGCCCUGAAAACCAGUGGCGGGCUCGCUGUCCACACCGAGCGUAGUAACUAACCUCGCUAUGGAGUGGCGCGGGCGCCUGCCGUAAAACCCCCAAUUUCACAAGGUUGACCUCGGAUCAGGCAGGAAUACCCGCUGAACUUAAGCAUAUCAAUAAGCGGAGGA
Molecule: unclassified non-coding RNA, 332 nt
Filed under: soil metagenome
Description: partial contains 5.8S ribosomal RNA, internal transcribed spacer 2, and large subunit ribosomal RNA
Rfam family: 5.8S ribosomal RNA (bases 1-120)
Source: RNAcentral